Trichonephila inaurata madagascariensis is the source of this 73-nucleotide non-coding RNA. NCBI's taxonomy places the organism in Eukaryota, Metazoa, Arthropoda, Arachnida, Araneae, Nephilidae. The record is from the annotation of a GenBank genome assembly.
GCCCAGCCAGUAUGGUGGAUAUGAUUCUCGGAUUGUAACCGAGUGGUUUCGAGUUCGAAUCCCGAGUAAGGCA